This 1960-nucleotide ribosomal RNA is filed under the name Candidatus Tremblayella princeps. Its description in RNAcentral is "bacterial LSU rRNA". It matches the Rfam family "Bacterial large subunit ribosomal RNA", at positions 1 to 2004 of the family's 2925-position model. The record is from RNAcentral. Lineage: Bacteria; Pseudomonadati; Pseudomonadota; Betaproteobacteria.
GAUUAAGGACUUAAGUGCGCGCAAUGGAUGCCUGGGCGGUUGAGGGCGACGAAGGACGUGCCAAUACACGAAAACCCCGGCGUGCCUAUUGGGGCUGGAACCCGGGGGUGUCCGAAUGGGGGAACCUGGGCUCUAGGUGAGCCCGUCCUGGCCUGAAUACAUAGGGCCAGGACGCGCACGCGGCGAACUGAAACAUCUCAGUAGCCGCAGGAGAAGAAAUCAAUUGAGAUUCCCAUAGUAGCGGCGAGCGAAACGGGAGGAGCCUGCGUAGGCGCCCCCCAUAGCAGCAGCCGAAUGCCAUGGAAAGGGCAACCGCAGACGGUGACAGUCCGGUAGGCUAAGCUGCAUGGGGUAAGACAACCUGCGCUUUAGAGUAGGGCGGGGCACGCUAACCCUGUCUGAAGAUGGGGGGUCCAUCCUCCAAGGCUAAAUACCCACAACCGACCGAUAGUGAACUAGUACCGCGAGGGAAAGGUGAAAAGAGCUCUGGGGGAGCAGUGAAACAGACCUGAAAUUGCGCGCACACGAACAGUCGGAGCCCCAUAGGCUGGGGUGACGGCGUACCUUUUGUAUAAUGGGUCAGCGACUUAUGUUCGGCAGCGAGCUUAACUCAAUGAGGGAGGCGUAGCGAAAGCGAGUCUGCCAAGGGCGCCGUAGUUGCCGUGCAUAGACCCGAAACCAGGUGAUCUACCCAUGAGCAGGAUGAUGGUGCGUUAAGCCGCACCGGAGGUCCGAACCCACUAACGUUGCAAAGUUAGGGGAUGAUUUGUGGGUAGGGGUGAAAGGCCAAUCAAACCUGGAUAUAGCUGGUUCUCUCCGAAAGCUAUUGGGGUAGCGCCUCGUGUUUUUGCUCCUGGAGGUAGAGCACUGUAGUGGCCUUGGGGUCCGAGAGGACUACCUUGCCAUAGCAAACUCCGAAUACCGGGGUAGCAUUAGCACGGGAGACAGACGCAGGGUGCUAACAUCCUGCGUCUAAAGGGAAACAACCCAGACCACCAGCUAAGGUCCCAAAGCAUGGCUAAGUGUGGAACGAUGUGGGCCGGCUCUGACAAUCAGGAGGUUGGCCUAGAAGCAGCCAUCCUUUAAAGAAAGCGUAACAGCUCACUGAUCUAGCCGGCUUGCGCGGAAGAUGUAGCGGGGCUAAGCCAUGCACCGAAGCUGUGGACGCACGGAGUGUGCGUGGUAGGAGAGCGUUCCGUAGGCCUGCGAAGGGAGGCCGGAAGGCCUCUUGGAGGUAUCGGAAGCGCGAAUGCUGACAUGAGUAGCAAAAAAGGGGGUGAGAAUCCUCCUCACCGCAAGCCCAAGGUUUCCCACGCCAUGAUCGUCAGCGUGGGGUCAGUCGGCCCCUAAGGCGAGGCAGAAGUGCGUAGCCGAUGGGUGGGCAGGUUAAAAUUCCUGCACCACGGUGCGCAAGCGAUGGGGGCACAGGCCGCGUGUCGCAGGCUGCCCAGCGAGAAAGCAGUUGCUGUGCUGUGGGGAUGCAUUGGCAAGACCGUGCUGGUAUUAGUGUGAACUCCCCUGGGCAUGGCACUCAAGCUCCGGCGUACGGCCUCAGGAAACACCCCUAAGCACCACAAAGCGCACAGUGUCCGUACCGCAAACCAACACAGGUGGGCGUGAUGAGCAUUCUAAGGUGCAUGGGAGAACUCGGGAGAAGGAACUAGGCAAAUUGAUACCGUAACUUAGGGAGAAGGUAUGCCAGGGCUCGCAGCGCCGUAAGGCACGGCGCUGCUCGCCAGGGCUGCAACGAAAUGGUAGCUGCGACUGUUUAAUAAAAACACAGCACUCUGCAAACACGAAAGUGGAAGUAUAGAGUGUGACGCCUGCCCGGUGCCGGAAGAUUAAUGCAGGGGGUGAGAGCUCCCGAGCAAAGUCCUGGUAAACGGCGGCCGUAACUAUAACGGUCCUAAGGUAGCGAAAUUCCUUGUCGGGUAAGUUCCGACCUGCACGAAUGGCGUAA